Molecule: long non-coding RNA, 1472 nt
Organism: Triticum aestivum (bread wheat)
Lineage: Eukaryota; Viridiplantae; Streptophyta; Magnoliopsida; Poales; Poaceae
Exons: 5
Source: RefSeq, a predicted model, not a curated record
GAUGGUCUACAGAUACAUGCAACAAUUGAGGUUUCAUGUGCAAGGAAGCAAAGAAGAUGCGAGACCGUUUUUCUUUUGGAAUAGAAGAAUCAAAGGAUACACCGACCGAUUAAAGGUUAGAAGACAUGCCAAAUAAUGGAUACUUCUCAAUCAAAUGAACAAACAUGCUAUCCGCCGAGCUUCAAGACUGAAGGGAUAGAUAACCACAACUUCUAAUGACCUAUACCAGCGAUUGAUUGUAGCAUACUAGAUUCCUAAUGCUGACAGGAAUAGCCGCCAUGGCGAUAUUUACAGAAAAAAAAUUGUGGGCUGGACUGAAGUAUCGAAACACACUUGGGAUUUCUGUUUCCUGUAACAUUUUAUUUGGGGAGUUUGUGACUUCUAGACCUGAAUGGUUGUGCAUGGACCAGAAUAUGAAUGAAGGAUACUUUAGUAACAUUUAUGUAGAGGUUGUGACCUCCAUAUCCAUUCGUUUUUGCUCUGAUUCUUGGGAGUAAUCCUGAUUGAUUUGAUGUAUUUGGUUAAUUAGGGUGACAUUUUUUGGCUGAUUUGGGUGACGAAUUUGAUACUUAUGUGAAUUGUUUGGAAGUUUCUUGGCUGAUAUGCGUCGUUGUGGUAGUUCUUCAGCUAAUUGCUCUGCUCUGCGGUCGAGGGGGGAGCCGCCAGAGAGAGAACCAAUCAAUGCACAAGGAGUCGAUAGUUUCAGCAUAAUAUUAGGCUUCUCCAUGUGAUGUGAUACUCUUGGGAUGAUGAUGGUUACACGAGGGUGGUCUUUUUUGCAGGGCCAAUGAUGUGUGCAAGGACGGAAAGAGGCAGUCGAUCAACGCUGAAGACGUCUUCAAGGCGCUCGAUGAGAUCGAGUUCCCGGAGUUUGUAGAUCCCCUGAGGACUGCACUGUUAGGAGGUUUGGUAGGUUUGAGCAUCUGACUUAUAAUCUAGGUUGAUGGUGUUUGGCAUUAUUGGUUCGAUCCACGUGGAGGUCCUCGCCGUCAUUGCAGCUGCGGGACAAGACGGCAAGGAGUUUGUGCGUCUGCCUUACCUCUGUACAAAAUAAACUGCAGAUACAAAAAAUGAAAAAGCAGAGCACUGUUAUUUCUCCAUACUCUGCAUCCCCAUCUGAGUCACUCUCUCUAGAAGCAGGAAUGAUUAUACUUCAACCGACCAUGCUCAGCCUAGAAUAACACCACAACAUACAGUAGUAGUUAAGCAACAAAACCUAAGCACUUCCCGUCAUUGUUUGCUUUCUCAUGUUUUUGUUUGCUUCAUUGUGUUCCUAUUUACUUGCAUAUAGAAGUGAGCAAAGUCGAAGUGUUUUGGGUGUUACAAAAGAUUGUGAAUAUUUUGCUUUUAUAGCUCUUUUUCUUGAUUGACUCAGUUUUUAUGUAAUUUCAAAGCACUUCAGAUGUGUUAGGCUGCAGCAAGAGGCUGGAACAGAUCUUUGUGCUAUGACGAGUGUUUGCUUCAGUCAAUCC